RNAcentral lists this unclassified non-coding RNA (5949 nucleotides) under Pomacea canaliculata. Its description in RNAcentral is "uncharacterized LOC112564203, transcript variant X2". Lineage: Eukaryota; Metazoa; Mollusca; Gastropoda; Architaenioglossa; Ampullariidae. The record is from RNAcentral.
GCUUGCUUGUGAUUGCAUAAUUAUCAGCUCAGUGUGGUUGGUAUUCUGUUAAAGUGCAGCUCUCAAUGUAGUUCGCUGGCAUGUCAGUCUGUCGGGCCUGCGCACGUCAGUCGCACUAUUAUCUCACCUACUCGUGUGCGGCAGUUGAGACAGAGAUUCGACUCACACCUAGUCAACCAUUUACACCUGCUGGCUCACCGACGUCAGCAUCACCUGUUGAAUAAUUUAUAACAUCGGCUACAGACAUAGAUGCUAACCCAUGAAGAAGAACAAUCUGGAAUAAGGAUUAAUCCAGGUAGACAGUGUUCCGCUGUCUUGCCAUUCUUAUCCUGUGCGAGGAAGACAUGUAAGAUUGUAAGGAAACCAUGUUUUUGUCGGUAAGGUGUGUGGGUUGAAAGAUCGUGUUGGCGAACUACGUGAAAAUUCUUGUCGGUAAAGCGAAUUCUUCUAGUGGUGAGGCACAGGAGCAGCAUGGCCUCCACAGUGCCACCAAACACUGUUAGUGUGACGAAACCUGAGGCGAGGCUCUUACAGAGGGAAAAGGUCAUGCUGGACUUUAUCGGAGAACUGAUGGACAGUCAUGUUUCUGUAGACAGGGGCGGCCUGUCCAGUGGGAACAUCGUGGUAACCCACGGAGAUCCCGAGAAAGUUUCUUCUAUCAUCCGCAAAAUACUAUACCGGGUGGACGUGCCAGUCGCAGAGAAAACUGACGAAGACAUUUCACAAAUCAUGAAGUCACUAAGCGAAAAAUUCUGUGGUCAGUUCGAGGCUGACUUUGAAGAAGACCGUUCUACUUUCACAGCAGCGUUUCACAAGAGGGUAAAGGCUGACUUAAAGCCCCUCAUUGAAAGCAUCGCAAUGAAACGUGGUUGUCUUCCCCUGUCGCCAUACCAGAUAAACUACCUGCAGCGCCACCUGGAUGAAGUACAAGAGAGAUUCAAUGGCGGCCAGCACAAAGGUGCGGUCAGUAUCAAGAUGCAGAAAGAGUUGGGGCAGCAGGGCACACUACUAAUUUCCUCCAAAUGGUUGGACUUCAAAGCCACAAAACAGUUGGCAGAUCAGCUGACUUCCAACCUUCGAAACCAGCGAGAGAAGCUCGAAGUAUCGCGUGCUUUGUAUCUAAGCAGUGUCAAAGGUCAACAAGAGUUACGACAGCUGGAAGAGAAGGACCGUUGCCAUGUCUCGGUCUUGUUGCCUGGUCACCAGUUGCUGGCGAGGGCCGAGUCACCAAAAGGACUUUGUGUCUUUCUGUGUGAAGGCAACAUGGCCGCUACAGACUGCAAUGUUCUCCUGCUUCCUUUACACGAAGGUCACAAAGACUGGACUCCUGCGCAGAAGAUGAUCCUGGACAGAGGUCUUCUGACAACCAAACCCGAACUGUACGCAGAGUUGAUUGGCUGCUCGCCCAAGCCACGGACCUUGAUGCUUAAGUGUCAAAGGCCAGAAGCUGGAAAGACAGUGGUCCUAGUCUAUGUUCCUGACCAUUCAGACUGUUGCUCAGUGUCGGUGGAAGAAAUGGCUAAAGGACUGGACGGAGAACGGGCUGAAAAGCUAACUGAGGGACUGGGUGUAGCACUCGCUGAAGAACAGGCUGACAAACCAAUAAUAGGAUUGGUUGAAGGAGUAGAUAUAGAACUAGGUCCAGAAGAGACUGAAGAAAUAAAUGGAGAGAGUAAUCUAAAAGAAACUGAGAAACCGAUUGAAGGGCUUGAUGGAGAACCCUUUAAAUGGCUAGAUAAAGAACUGGAUGGAGGAAAGGAUGGGGAAUCGGAUGCAGGACUAGACCUGGAUCCAGAGCAGCCUAAAGAAGAAGAAUUGAGUAAAGGAAUAAAUGGAGAACUGGAUGUAGAAAUUUCUAAAGGAAUGGAUGGAGAAGCAACAGCUGGACGAGAUGGAGAAACGGUUAAAGAUAUUGAUGGAAAACUCGAUGGAGAACUGGCUCAAAUACUGGAUGGGGAAGUGGAUGUAGAACUACUUACAGAAGUGAGUAAUGGACCUGCUCAGAAGGUAGCCAAAGACCUGGUUGGGGGAGUGGCAAAAGGACUGGCUGAAGCUUUACGGUUGCCGUGCUCACGUGGGACAAGCGUUGCUGUACCCGCCAGGUUCAGUACCCAGCAUUCGGCGGCUGACAAUCUGAAAACAACCCUUAGGGUCGUCAGACACAUCUUGGAGGAGGACGAAGACAGCCCGACUACCGUGGUGGUUUUUCUGGAGGCAUCAUCUGACUGCGAGAGGAAGCACGUGACUGAAGCCCUCGAGCAGACGCUGAGUCCACGCUGGAAGGUUGAGACGGACUUUGUUGUCCUACAGGAGGAGAAUAAAACUGCAUCACCAGCAGCCAUCAUCUGUGCUCAACAUCAGGACCUAGAAAAGGCAUCUAGCGAGCUGCAGAAUAUUCGCGUUCCUAAAGAAUACGAGGGGAGCACGAGUGUACUGAGCGCUGACAUAAAACCUGGAUCGGACCUCUGUAUCGUGUCACAGAGUAUCAGUAAAGAUCUUGAAACAGGAAAAGUUUCAGAGGAAAAGAGACUUUCUGGACAACAACAGAUCUGUGAUAACGACGAUAAAUCAGCUGAGGACGAGGGCAGAGGCAAUGACGAAUCAGUGACAUGUUUUCGUGAUGACACCUCUACUGAUGACAGGUUUGACGACAGCAAGCAAGUUGAUGGUAGUGCUGAGGACAACGAUGCCGAGACGAUCACUGUUCCAUGGGGUGAAGAUGCUCGAGAUGAAGACAACAACGCAAAAGACCAAAGCAAACAAAAAGCGCCAUCUUUUGGUGGCACCAGGCUGCUUAUCUCUGGCAUUGUAAAAAGAUUAUCUGAAAAUUUUCUCAAGACUUUUCUGAAGCGUGUUGGAGCUGCUGAUGUGCUGUCUUUGCAGAUGAAUAGGAACAGAGAUAAGGCGCUGAUUGUCAUAGCAAACGAAAAUGUCGAUUUGCAACACCUGAAGCAGGUUUGUACCGAGAAAUCAGUGUGUGGUGAUGAGGUGAUUGUAAAAGCUGCCCCCAUUUCGAACUCAGUUCUGAUCCAAAACCUGAACCCCACGACGCAAGACGGAGCCAUUUUCUACUUUUUUAGCAACAAAAAGAGAAGCGGUGGAGGACCUGUGUGCGAUGUCUUCAGACUCGAUGACACUCGUGCUCUUGUUCAGUUUGAGCAGCUCGCCGAUACCCAGGCGGUUGUGGACAAAAAAGCUCAAGUCUUGGAUAGCUUCCCUUUGGAGGUCUGUAUGUCUCCUUGGAAUGAACUUACACCUCGGCAAGAACAAUCGUUAGCUACUACCUAUUCUGGAUCACCUACACUUUCGAAUGUUGACCAAAAACGAAAAGGUUCUAGAGGCAAGCAGUAUGAGCGACAACAUGAAAGACCGACAGAAGGAAGAUCUGGUCCUGACCUACUGUCUGAACCUUGCGAAGUCCCACAAUAUUCAAAUGUAGUCACAGAUUCAGGACCCAAUGGUGAGCCGUCUCUCUGGGGAAGAGGGAGAGGUAGGGGCAGCAGAAGGGGAGGCAGACGAGGAAAUAAAAGUACUUCCGAGAGGUGGGACGGAAGACCGAGAGAGUCUUCACAACCUUUCGGACACCAAGCAUUCUAUCCACCAUAUCCUUUGCAAGCAUGUUACUACGGAUCAGCUGAAAUUAAUGCUAGAGGGAAAUUUAAACCACCUGACUCUAUUAUAGUUACUUCCACAAGGCCAGGUGUACCAGAAAACUGGAAAGAACAGGUGUUGAAGAAAAUCGACAAAUAUGAGCACUUUUUUCCAGACAGGGUUUUGGGAGAAAUGAACCAAGCGCAGCUGAACAGAGAUUUAGCAUCAGAACUGCCACAAACAGAGCAAAUGAUGGAAACUGCUGCAAGAUUCAGGGAAGGGAAUUCUACUGUCACACUAAGAGGUGCGCAGGAGAUGAGGGCUAAAAAUGGCGAGGAACCGGUCGACAGAAGAGCAGAACAGGACACAAACUCAGUUCCACGAUUAGAAGUCAUCCGAGGCCUGAAGCCAUGCCAGAUCAAGGUCAUGUCCUUGCCACAGGUCGAGAGCAGGUUCGAGGAGAAAUAUAAAGGUCUUUCUCUUCAUAUGGAUCGAGAGAACAAGAAGCUGGCCCUAAGGAUAGAGGCCACAGAGAAAGAAGCGAAAAAGAUGAUGGCCGACAUCAUGGAAUACGUGACACAGAUCUCAGAGAGAACACUGCCAGCCACAGAGGCCAUGGCCCGUCUGCUCGCCGACCAGCGCUCCCUCAGCUGCACAGAAGCCAUGCUAAAGAAGAAAGGCGUUCUCUGUCGUCUGGAACUGAAGUCCAAUGCCAUUUCAGUCAGUGCCCCAACAUCCGGUCUGGCAGAGCAGGCAGAAGAUAUUUUCAGGCGUUCGUUCAACGAACAUAGCCGUGAUCUCGAGGAAGAUGAAGUUGCAGCAGCAAAGUCCUCAUCCUGGAAAAACUUAUCAGAAAAACUUCAGCGAAGAGACAAAGAAGAAGUACCCAACCCUGUCCUGCUCCUCAACACGGAGAAGAAGAUCGUAACCCUUCUAGAUGUGGCUGAGAAUUUCCCUAAGACAUGGGCCGAUGUGAAAACAUUUUUCAGCAUUAAAAAAGUGACGAAACUAGAGCGAAAAAUAUAUCUGAAUCAUUGCAAAUUUCUGACAAAGUGUUGUAAAGAAAAGAUAAAGCUGCUGAAGGAGAAGGCCGCCCAAGUAGGUGUGCUCGUAAACAUCGGCAAGAACGGCCAUGUGGACUUCACGGGCCUCACGGACGAUAUUUCAGUCAUCAAUGGGGAGAUGGUCAAUCUUCUUAAAUCCAUUCAGAUGAAGAAGAAGGUAUUUUCUGGUCCAGGUAUAGACACUUAUCUCAACAGCUCUGCAGGGCAACUGUUUAUAGAGCACACAGGGCAGGCAAACCUUUGCCUAGUAACGACAUCCGGUGAUAACACUUUCUUAACUUACCCUAAUGGUUUCAUGGUGGAUAGAGACAAAUCAAAGCAGUCUGAAGAACCACAUGAUGCCUUCUCGGAAGUAAUUCAGCCUAAUGAGGGAUCAAGUUCGGCAGCUCUUGAAGCAGGUGACGUUGGCUCAAACUCCGUUGAAAAGACCAUGUGGAAAUCUAUUGCUGUAUUAGUAUACUCCUGCGAUCAAGAGGCGAUUCAAAAAGUGCUCAAAGAAAUAAGAGAACACAUCAAGCAGAACCAGGCCACCAAGGAGGAACAGGACGAAAUCAUCUGCAACUUUUCUCCUCAGCAGCUGUCAGCAGUAACAGCCCUACAAAAGAAAUACGAGGUCGUCAUUAACAUGGAUGCAAAAAGGGGCACCGUUAAAAUUACUGGAUUCCAAUCCAAUGUCCUGGAAGCUUACGCAGCCCUUAAAGACAUCAAAUCCGAGGCGAGCAUGCGUGACCCCAUCACUGGCACGAUGCCAAUUCUCUGGCAGCAUGAGGUCAGCGAGGGCAAGUUCAGAAACUUUGACCCAGAGGACAUUCGCGACAUCGAGGCAGCCUACAACAGGAGAGAUUCUUCUGUUACUCUGACGAACAAGCAGGGAGGGAACUAUAAAGUUGUAUUUGAGGAAAAGAAGGUCUUAGACUUGUUCGCCCAGCCUGUUUCCGUCCGACGGAUAGACGUUUUGCAGGGAAACAUUGCAGAUCCAGCGCGUGCAGAACCCAACUUUGUUCCAGCAGUACAAGGUGAAGAAGAAGGAGCUGGAGAUGCACAACCCACCUGGCACUGAAAACGAGAAGAGGCUCUGGCAUGGCACUGACUCCAAAAACAUUGACAGUAUAACUACUAACGGCUUUAAUCGGAGCUACUGUGGGCAGCAUGGAACAGCAUUUGGUCAGGGUGUCUACUUUGCUACAGACUCUGCCCUUGCCAGACGCUAUACCAAGGACAGUCACAUACUUCAGGCGCGUGUGCUGGUAGGCCAGUCCACGCCAGGUCACAAAAGCUUGAGAAUGCCCCCCAA